RNAcentral lists this long non-coding RNA (1479 nucleotides) under Betula platyphylla (Asian white birch). The record is from RNAcentral. Lineage: Eukaryota; Viridiplantae; Streptophyta; Magnoliopsida; Fagales; Betulaceae.
AAUUUAAUACAGCAACUGCGACCAACUACUUACUGCCCUCUAGAUCAUUCUAGAGAAAGUAAACAAAUCCAGUCUAUCUAAAAACUCAAUCUUCAAAGCCUAGGAACACAGUUCAAAUGCUAUCAAUUAAGAAGUAAAAUGAACGUUCCAAGAGAAAAAAAUAAGUUGCUUAUACAAUAAAGUGAAAGACAUUCAGAUCUGAGGUAAGUAAAACAGAAAUCUGUAUGCAGAUAGCUCCAGAACCUGGUUCAACAGGAUUAAUGCUUAGAAAGUCAUCAUUUAAGUUUUAUUCCAGAAGUAAAAUCAAAGGUACUUAAUUCAUGGUAACUUUAGUCCUGUACAAAUCAUCUAAGUUAUGGCUUACAGCAGAAUAUGCAUAUGUUAGAUAGGUGAGCAAUGCUAUUGCUAGGUUCAUUAUCUGUCUCAAUUCUCUACUCUUCAAAAUCUUCCAACUCCCCCAACCACUAAAACUAAACCAACAAUGAACGUGUCUUGAUUGCUCCACAAUAACCAUAGUUGUGUUUUGGAAUGGUUUGAUCUAACCGUUAUAACUGUGAAAGGAUAUUGACUUACAGCAAUCUAUUAGGAUAAAAUUGGUCAAUGAACUGGCACGCCCUUAAUCUCAAAUAAAGACCAAUAGUUGGAGUGAACCCUACUGUCUUACUAAAAAAAAUAUACACUACAACAACAAAAACCAUAGAAGAUUUUCUUUAUAUACCACAAACACACGCAUACAAACGUAUUUAAUAUAUAGCAACAAGGUUGGAACACUGUACUUUUUUGCCAAAAUAUAUACAAACAUUCACACCGUACUUUUGCCCUCCAUUUUCUCGGGAACCAAACAUGGUUGGAACUUAUUUUCCAAUUUUAGACUAGAAAGUACAACAACAAAUUGGACUUGAAACUAGCCACAAAGUUUUAAACCAAAUAAAGCAAUACAGAAGAAAAAAUUAACAUCACAAUCAACUCUACAGCUUACAAUAAACUAAAACAGUAAGUAAUUAUUUAUCAACACCUACAUUAGCAAAUAGCACUGAAACGGCACAAACACGUAAUAAUGAGCAAAAAGGUCAUUUCUUGUACAGCAGAGCCACUACAAAGCGCUCAUCAAGCAUUUCAGAAAAAGAUCUCAAGCUCUUACCACAAAUUUACAUGCUAUUAGCCUGUUUGGUUCGUGAGAAAAUGUAGGGGAAACUUCAGUGAGAAAAAAUUCAAAUAAAUCUUCAACGAAAUCAUCCUCAGGUCGCUGCAAUGCAAUUAUUUAGCUUGGUUGCUGAGUUCCUCUAUACCUUAGAAACAAAAAUCAGCUAAAAAAUCUUUUCUCCUUAGAAUUUCUCAGCUACCAAACAACGGAGUACCAAAGAAAAACUACUUAGUUUAGAAGCGCUGAGUUUCUCGUACUUUGUAUGCACAGAACAAUUCCUACAUUUUCUUUUUCCACUUCCUAUUUUUCUUUUUCACAAAUUUUCAAACUAAUUC